CCUCCUUAAAAACACACAACCAGAUUUAUAUAAAAUUGUGAAUUGCACGCACCUGCCACGUAAUAUUACCUUUUUUUAAAAAAAAUUAUUCUGCAAUUAUUUUUCAUCUAUAUUUCCAUCUUUCUCUUUUACCUUCCUUUUUCCAUUCCUCUUUUUAUUUGAUUUACUUUCCUUUUCCAUUCCUCUUUUUCUUUGAUCUUGACAAUUGAUUUUCUAAAUUUGGGGAUACAUUCUAUGACUGUCACCAUCUUCUUCGAGCUUCACCGGAGUUAUGAACACUAGCAAAAUUUUGAUGCUCUCUAUUGAAGCUAGAAUUUAACAAUGUUGAGCAACCCAUUUCGAUUAUUG
Molecule: long non-coding RNA, 348 nt
Filed under: Solanum tuberosum (potato)
Lineage: Eukaryota; Viridiplantae; Streptophyta; Magnoliopsida; Solanales; Solanaceae
Description: long non-coding RNA (STUB_LNC007866)
Source: RNAcentral